This 234-nucleotide ribosomal RNA is filed under the name uncultured bacterium. RNAcentral describes it as "partial 16S ribosomal RNA". It matches the Rfam family "Bacterial small subunit ribosomal RNA", at positions 15 to 244 of the family's 1533-position model. The record is from RNAcentral.
GAUCAUGGCUCAGGACGAACGCUGGCGGCGCGCCUAACACAUGCAAGUCGAACGAGCGAGAGAGAGCUUGCUUUCUCAAGCGAGUGGCGAACGGGUGAGUAACGCGUGAGGAACCUGCCUCAAAGAGGGGGACAACAGUUGGAAACGACUGCUAAUACCGCAUAAGCCCACGGCUCGGCAUCGAGCAGAGGGAAAAGGAGCAAUCCGCUUUGAGAUGGCCCCGCGUCCGAUUAG